Molecule: unclassified non-coding RNA, 399 nt
Filed under: Enterococcus faecalis V583
Lineage: Bacteria; Bacillati; Bacillota; Bacilli; Lactobacillales; Enterococcaceae
Description: Ref9D1
Source: RNAcentral
CAUAUUGGCGACCACGACCCCGCAAGUUAACGCUAAUAAAAACGUCACUUGAUUUGUUAAACCCGAUUGUUGUUUCUUCAUCUAACCACCUACAUUUCUAUGUAAUUCAUUUUGUAAUACAACAACUACUCGGCAAUAGUUGUUUUGAUUACAAAAACAGACUUCUCUUAUAAAGUUUGUUCAAAAAGUGACAAGUCCAUUAAAAAUUUUAUCACAAUAAAUAAAGAAAAGUAAGAGGAUAAAUAACAAAAAUCUCAUCAAAUUGAAAAGAAGAAGUGGUUGUUUUCACAAGUGUGAAGAGGGUUAAUUAAAUACAAACAAGAUUUCAAUUACAUUACAGAAAUUUUAAAACUCAAAAUUUAAUACGUUUAUUUCUUGUUUCAAUAGGAAAUUAACGGU